Molecule: ribosomal RNA, 404 nt
Filed under: uncultured prokaryote
Also listed under: 1 other name
Description: bacterial SSU rRNA
Rfam family: Bacterial small subunit ribosomal RNA
Source: RNAcentral
UGGGGAAUAUUGCACAAUGGGGGAAACCCUGAUGCAGCAAUGCCGCGUGAGUGAUGACGGCCUUCGGGUUGUAAAGCUCUGUCUUCAGGGACGAUAAUGACGGUACCUGAGGAGGAAGCCACGGCUAACUACGUGCCAGCAGCCGCGGUAAUACGUAGGUGGCAAGCGUUGUCCGGAUUUACUGGGCGUAAAGGGAGCGUAGGCGGAUUUUUAAGUGAGAUGUGAAAUACCCGGGCUUAACUUGGGUGCUGCAUUCCAAACUGGAAGUCUAGAGUGCAGGAGAGGAGAGUGGAAUUCCUAGUGUAGCGGUGAAAUGCGUAGAUAUUAGGAGGAACACCAGUUGCGAAGGCGGCUCUCUGGACUGUAACUGACACUGAGGCACGAAAGCGUGGGGAGCAAACAGG